Molecule: non-coding RNA, 24 nt
Filed under: Arabidopsis thaliana (thale cress)
Lineage: Eukaryota; Viridiplantae; Streptophyta; Magnoliopsida; Brassicales; Brassicaceae
Source: RNAcentral
CAUUCGCCGUGGGUCCCACCCGCC